Molecule: ribosomal RNA, 301 nt
Filed under: uncultured bacterium
Lineage: Bacteria
Description: partial 16S ribosomal RNA
Rfam family: Bacterial small subunit ribosomal RNA
Source: RNAcentral
CAGUCGCCGCGGGAAUACGUAGGGUGCAAGCGUUAAUCGGAAUUACUGGGCGUAAAGCGUGCGCAGGCGGUCCGUUAAGACAGAUGUGAAAUCCCUGGGCUCAACCUGGGACCUGCAUUUGUGACUGUAUAGCUAGAGUACGGUAGAGGGGGAUGGAAUUCCGCGUGUAGCAGUGAAAUGCGUAGAUAUGCGGAGGAACACCGAUGGCGAAGGCAAUCCCCUGGACCUGUACUGACGCUCAUGCACGAAAGCGUGGGGAGCAAACAGGAUUAGAUACCCCUGUAGUCCCUGUCUCUUAUAC